CCUACGGGAGGCAGCAGUGGGGAAUUUUGGACAAUGGGCGCAAGCCUGAUCCAGCAAUGCCGCGUGAGUGAAGAAGGCCUUCGGGUUGUAAAGCUCUUUUGUCAGGGAAGAAACGGUGUUUUCUAAUACAGAAUGCUAAUGACGGUACCUGAAGAAUAAGCACCGGCUAACUACGUGCCAGCAGCCGCGGUAAUACGUAGGGUGCAAGCGUUAAUCGGAAUUACUGGGCGUAAAGCGUGCGCAGGCGGUUUUGUAAGUCUGUCGUGAAAUCCCCGGGCUCAACCUGGGAAUGGCGAUGGAGACUGCAAGGCUAGAAUCUGGCAGAGGGGGGUAGAAUUCCACGUGUAGCAGUGAAAUGCGUAGAUAUAUGGAGGAACACCGAUGGCGAAGGCAGCCCCCUGGGCUAAGAUUGACGCUCAUGCACGAAAGCGUGGGGAGCAAACAGGAUUAGAUACCCUGGUAGUCCACGCCCUAAACGAUGUCUACUAGUUGUCGGGUCUUAAUUGACUUGGUAACGCAGCUAACGCGUGAAGUAGACCGCCUGGGGAGUACGGUCGCAAGNUUAAAACUCGAAANAGAGUAGAGNGNGAGAGNGCGAGACGACGACGAGGGAGAGG
RNAcentral lists this ribosomal RNA (617 nucleotides) under uncultured bacterium. RNAcentral describes it as "bacterial SSU rRNA". It matches the Rfam family "Bacterial small subunit ribosomal RNA", at positions 338 to 944 of the family's 1533-position model. The record is from RNAcentral.